AAAUUAAAUAAUCUCCGUGCAAAAAUAUCUAAGGAAUAAGGCAUAUGCUUAAAUCUAUGAUAUUGCGCCAAAGUGAAAAAUUAUAUGAUUAAUCACUUUCAGGGUUACUUGGGAAACCAUUUGACCUUCCGUAUUUGAAAAGGAGAGUUAUUUACUUAGGC
Molecule: non-coding RNA, 161 nt
Filed under: Clostridium saccharobutylicum
Lineage: Bacteria; Bacillati; Bacillota; Clostridia; Eubacteriales; Clostridiaceae
Also listed under: 1 other name
Description: MoCo sequence
Rfam family: Molybdenum/Tungsten riboswitch aptamer (Moco RNA motif)
Source: RNAcentral